RNAcentral lists this long non-coding RNA (832 nucleotides) under Erythranthe guttata (spotted monkey flower). RNAcentral's name for it is "long non-coding RNA (EGUT_LNC003342)". Lineage: Eukaryota; Viridiplantae; Streptophyta; Magnoliopsida; Lamiales; Phrymaceae. The record is from RNAcentral.
CUCGGUGAAACCGAAGAAAUCCUUGCACUUCUCUGCCAACGCGAACUGCCACUCUCGGCCCCUAAUCGGGCAGCUUCCGUUGAAGAGUGGCGAGCACUAAUCGAUCAGGAAAAAAACAAUAUUAAUAUGGAAUUCAGUUCUAAGUCGAAUAUUGAAACAGGUACAAAAGUCGACGGAUUAUAAAACUGAUGUUUCCGUUCGUUAUCCUCGAUUAAACGAAGUAGUACUCAGUAAUCGUGGCCAUCUAAAUAUAUAUGAUUUCCGCUUUGAUGUGUUAUAAAUCACUACUACCAACAACAGUAACUAAAACCAUCAAUUCACCAUAAUCUUAUUGAUUACAUUACAAUUGUCACAUUAGUUCACGGAACCCUAAUUUGCCCUAAUUUUUGGGAAAUGUCAGCGAUGAGGCUAUUUUGAUCAAAUCGCCAUAGAAACAUCUAUCUCUAUCAUGAAACAGCAGCCAUAAAUAAAGCAUUGAGAAAUUCAAAAGGGAGAGAGGAAAAUCACAAAGGUAUAUAUAUAUAUAUAUAUACCUGUACACGAAACGCAUGUCCUUGUAAUUCUCAACAGCAUUCUUUCUUCACCAGCUCCACUUCAUCAGUGAAGUAGGAAUUAAUUUGGAGUUGCAGAUUGUGUGGAAGUAAUUCGGCAGUUAUUUAUUAUUAUUAUUAUUAUUUUUUUAACGAUAGUGAAGGAAAUCGUGUCGGGAAAAUUGCCAUUUCCCGGCAAUAUUCACCGGAAUUCUGAGCACGUGCGCCGUACGUGAGAUCGGCAAAGGUGAAAAUUUCUCCUUCACCUAUAUUAUUGCCUACGGUUUAAUUUUUGAUUUUUC